GAUGAACGCUGGCGGCGUGCCUAAUACAUGCAAGUCGAGCGGACGGACGAGAAGCUUGCUUCUCUGAUGUUUGCGGCGGACGGGUGAGUAACACGUGGAUAACCUCCCUAUCAGACUGGGAUAACUUCGGGACACCGGCGCUAAUACCGGAUGAUAUUUUGCACCGCAUGGUUCAAAAGUGAAAGACGGUCUUGCUGUCACUUAUAGAUGGAUCCGCGCUGCAUUAGCUAGUUGGUAAUGUAACGGGCUACCAGGGCUACGAUGCAUAGCCGACCGGUGAGGCUGAUCGCCCACAUGGGAACGUGGCCGCGGUCAAGACGCCUACGGGAGGGAGCAGAAGGGAACCUUCGGCAGUAGGCGAGAGCCUGACGGAGUAACGGCGCGUGAGAGAUGGAGGCCUUCGGAUCGUAAAACCCGGUUAUGAGGGAAGAACAGAUGUGUAAGGAACUGAGCACAGCUUGACGGUAACUAAUCAGAAAGCCACGGCUAACUACGUG
Molecule: ribosomal RNA, 497 nt
Filed under: uncultured bacterium
Lineage: Bacteria
Description: partial 16S ribosomal RNA
Rfam family: Bacterial small subunit ribosomal RNA
Source: RNAcentral